Molecule: ribosomal RNA, 253 nt
Filed under: uncultured bacterium
Lineage: Bacteria
Description: partial 16S ribosomal RNA
Rfam family: Bacterial small subunit ribosomal RNA
Source: RNAcentral
UACGUAGGGGGCAAGCGUUAUCCGGAUUUACUGGGUGUAAAGGGAGCGUAGGCGGUGCAGCAAGUCAGAAGUGAAAGCCCGGGGCUCAACCCCGGGACUGCUUUUGAAACUGUUGAACUAGAUUGCAGGGGAGGUAAGUGGAAUUCCUAGUGUAGCGGUGAAAUGCGUAGAUAUUAGGAGGAACACCAGUGGCGAAGGCGGCUUACUGGACUGUAAAUGACGCUGAGGCUCGAAAGCGUGGGGAGCAAACAGG